This 315-nucleotide long non-coding RNA is filed under the name Glycine max (soybean). RNAcentral's name for it is "long non-coding RNA (GMAX_LNC002259)". Lineage: Eukaryota; Viridiplantae; Streptophyta; Magnoliopsida; Fabales; Fabaceae. The record is from RNAcentral.
UUGAUGCAUGCUUAGUCAUCUCUUUUUUGUGAUUGAUACAUUUGAGACAAACACCAUUUUGGUUAACCAUUGUUAAGUCCUUUUGCUUGAGGACAAGAAAACUGCUCUUUUCUUUGCUUGAGGACAAGCAAAACUGUAAAUUUGGUGGAGUUUGUUAAUUGAUAUUCAUGAGCUUUUAGUGCAUUAAAAAUAAGUAAGAAAAUAGCAAUGUGCCUUUAAUUUACGGUUCUUUUUGUGGAAAUUGUAAAUAUUUUUAUUCUUGUAUGUAUUUAUAAAGUAGAAACUCCAUUUUUGUGAACUAAUGUUGAAUUUAAC